AAGAAAAGAAAAAAUAGAAAAAAAUGAAAAUGAAUGCUUGCUUGGAAGAAAAAUAGUGAAAAAAAAACUUGAGUUGUAAAAUAAGAGUUGUGAAGGUUUCAAAUGAGAAACAAAUGGAACGAAGUUGAGAUGUGUGAAUAAUGUACAGUGAAUGUCUCUUUUGCAUCGGCAAUUUCGUUUUGAAUGGCCUUAGAAAUGAC
RNAcentral lists this long non-coding RNA (200 nucleotides) under Lathyrus oleraceus (garden pea). Its description in RNAcentral is "Pisum sativum (pea) long non-coding RNA (PSAT_LNC027207)". Lineage: Eukaryota; Viridiplantae; Streptophyta; Magnoliopsida; Fabales; Fabaceae. The record is from RNAcentral.